GUCUACAAAAGUACUCAAAACUGCUGCAUUUGACUAAAAAGUACUUAGGGACUUGUCGUACAUGCAUCUAUGGGCCCACCAGAAGGUUUGAAUAGUCUUAAAUUUAGGGCUAGAUACCAAGAUAUAUUUGACAUGGAGACUAUGGCGUAGGGCGGCGUAGUCUACGUGGAAAACCAGGAAACUAGUCGAGGAUUAGUAAAAGUACUGAUAAUAAUACGAGUAGAACACCUCUAGUCAAAUCCAACUAGUAUUCCUAUAAACCAACCGAUCUGUAGCCCUGCCCCCGGCAAUAUAAGGUGAGGUAAAGACCCCCUCCAAAGCAAUUC
Molecule: long non-coding RNA, 326 nt
Filed under: Setaria viridis
Lineage: Eukaryota; Viridiplantae; Streptophyta; Magnoliopsida; Poales; Poaceae
Description: long non-coding RNA (SVIR_LNC007333)
Source: RNAcentral